GAGAAGCUUGCUUCUCUUGAGAGCGGCGGACGGGUGAGUAAUGCCUAGGAAUCUGCCUGGUAGUGGGGGAUAACGCUCGGAAACGGACGCUAAUACCGCAUACGUCCUACGGGAGAAAGCAGGGGACCUUCGGGCCUUGCGCUAUCAGAUGAGCCUAGGUCGGAUUAGCUAGUUGGUGAGGUAAUGGCUCACCAAGGCGACGAUCCGUAACUGGUCUGAGAGGAUGAUCAGUCACACUGGAACUGAGACACGGUCCAGACUCCUACGGGAGGCAGCAGUGGGGAAUAUUGGACAAUGGGCGAAAGCCUGAUCCAGCCAUGCCGCGUGUGUGAAGAAGGUCUUCGGAUUGUAAAGCACUUUAAGUUGGGAGGAAGGGCAGUUACCUAAUACGUAUCUGUUUUGACGUUACCGACAGAAUAAGCACCGGCUAACUCUGUGCCAGCAGCCGCGGUAAUACAGAGGGUGCAAGCGUUAAUCGGAAUUACUGGGCGUAAAGCGCGCGUAGGUGGUUUGUUAAGUUGGAUGUGAAAUCCCCGGGCUCAACCUGGGAACUGCAUUCAAAACUGACAAGCUAGAGUAU
RNAcentral lists this ribosomal RNA (580 nucleotides) under Pseudomonas sp. RNAcentral describes it as "bacterial SSU rRNA". It matches the Rfam family "Bacterial small subunit ribosomal RNA", at positions 73 to 649 of the family's 1533-position model. The record is from RNAcentral. Lineage: Bacteria; Pseudomonadati; Pseudomonadota; Gammaproteobacteria; Pseudomonadales; Pseudomonadaceae.